This 497-nucleotide ribosomal RNA is filed under the name uncultured bacterium. RNAcentral's name for it is "partial 16S ribosomal RNA". It matches the Rfam family "Bacterial small subunit ribosomal RNA", at positions 28 to 507 of the family's 1533-position model. The record is from RNAcentral.
GACGAACGCUGGCGGCGUGCCUAAUACAUGCAAGUUGAGCGCUGAAGGUUGGUACUUGUACCAACUGGAUGAGCAGCGAACGGGUGAGUAACGCGUGGGUAAUCUGCCUUUGAGCGGGGGACAACAUUGGGAAACGAAUGCUAAUACCGCAUAAAAACUUUAAACACAAGUUUUAAGUUUGAAAGAUGCAAUUGCAUCACUCAAAGAUGAUCCCGCGUUGUAUUAGCUAGUUGGUGAGGUAAAGGCUCACCAAGGCGAUGAUACAUAGCCGACCUGAGAGGGUGGUCCGCCACAUUGGGACUGAGACCCGGCCCAAACCCCUACGGGAGGCAGCCGUAGGGAAUCUUCGGCCAUGGACGAAAGUCUGACCGAGCCACGCCGCGUGAGUGAAGAAGGGUUUCGGAUCGUAAAACUCUGUUGGUAGAGAAGAACGUUGGUGAGAGUGGAAAGCUCAUCAAGUGACGGUAACUACCCAGAAAGGGACGGCUAACUACGUG